Molecule: transfer RNA, 80 nt
Filed under: Burkholderia pseudomallei
Lineage: Bacteria; Pseudomonadati; Pseudomonadota; Betaproteobacteria; Burkholderiales; Burkholderiaceae
Description: tRNA-Ile
Source: RNAcentral
GGGUCUGUAGCUCAGUCGGUUAGAGCACCGUCUUGAUAAAGGCGGGGGUCGUUGGUUCGAAAUCCAAACCAGACCCACCA